Molecule: long non-coding RNA, 257 nt
Organism: Etheostoma cragini (Arkansas darter)
Lineage: Eukaryota; Metazoa; Chordata; Actinopteri; Perciformes; Percidae
Exons: 2
Source: RefSeq, a predicted model, not a curated record
CAAAAUAGCCCUGCAAUGCCGGCCACAUAACCUGGAGGCCAUGGAAAUGGACAUCACAGACAAUAAACUGGAGAGCUGGAUGAUUGAUAUCAAUGAGUGGUCAGAAGCAACAACAUCCCCAAAUGAUGCUGAUGCUGCUGCUGGAACCAGCCAAAUUGAGGAGCUUGUGGCAAGUGUUAGGCGAAGGUCCCUUUGUCUAUAUAAAGAUAAUGACUGAUGCACAGGACGUGCCCGGAUCCACCAAAAGAUCAGGGAGG